AGAUUGAACGCUGGCGGCAUGCCUAACACAUGCAAGUCGAACGGGAGUAGCAAUACUCUAGUGGCGGACGGGUGAGGAAUACGUAGGAAUUUGCCCUUAAGUGGGGGAUAACCCGGGGAAACCCGGAUUAAUACCGCAUGACCUCGAAAGAGCAAAGUGGGGGAUCGCAAGACCUCACGCUUUUGGAGAAGCCUACGUCGGAUUAGCUAGUUGGUGAGGUAAUGGCUCACCAAGGCGACGAUCCGUAACUGGUCUGAGAGGAUGAUCAGUCACACCGGAACUGAGACACGGUCCGGACUCCGUACGGGAGGCAGCAGGUGGGAAUAGUUGGACAAGUGGGCGCGAAGCCUGACUCCGAGCAAGUCGCCGCGUGUGUGAAGACGGCCGUUCGGUUAGUAAGCUAACGUUUAAGUAGGGAAAGUAAAACGUCG
RNAcentral lists this ribosomal RNA (431 nucleotides) under uncultured soil bacterium. RNAcentral describes it as "bacterial SSU rRNA". It matches the Rfam family "Bacterial small subunit ribosomal RNA", at positions 26 to 457 of the family's 1533-position model. The record is from RNAcentral.